GGCUUCAUGGUGGAAAUGGUAGACACGAAGGACUUAAAAUCCUUUGAACAGUAAUGUUCUUGUGGGUUCAAAUCCCACUGAAGCUA
This 86-nucleotide transfer RNA is filed under the name Crassvirales sp. RNAcentral's name for it is "tRNA-Leu". It matches the Rfam family "tRNA". Rfam says of the family: Transfer RNA (tRNA) molecules are approximately 80 nucleotides in length. Their secondary structure includes four short double-helical elements and three loops (D, anti-codon, and T loops). The record is from RNAcentral. Lineage: Duplodnaviria; Heunggongvirae; Uroviricota; Caudoviricetes; Crassvirales.